GACGAACGCUGGCGGCGUGCUUAACACAUGCAAGUCGAGCGGUAAGGCCCUUUCGGGGGUACGACGAGCGGCGAACGGGUGAGUAACACGUGGGUGACCUGCCCUCAGCUCUGGGAUAAGCCUGGGAAACCGGGUCUAAUACCGGAUAUGACUCCAUGACGCAUGUUGUGGGGUGAAAGCCUUGUGCGGCUGAGGAUGGGCCCGCGGCCUAUCAGCUUGUUGGUGGGGUGAUGGCCUACCAAGGCGACGACGGGUAGCCGGCCUGAGAGGGCGACCGGCCACACUGGGACUGAGACACGGCCCAGACUCCUACGGGAGGCAGCAGUGGGGAAUCUUGCGCAAUGGGCAAAGCCUGACGCAGCGACGCCGCGUGAGGGAUGACGGCCUGGU
RNAcentral lists this ribosomal RNA (390 nucleotides) under uncultured bacterium. Its description in RNAcentral is "bacterial SSU rRNA". It matches the Rfam family "Bacterial small subunit ribosomal RNA", at positions 28 to 420 of the family's 1533-position model. The record is from RNAcentral.